This 288-nucleotide long non-coding RNA is filed under the name Setaria viridis. RNAcentral describes it as "long non-coding RNA (SVIR_LNC010696)". Lineage: Eukaryota; Viridiplantae; Streptophyta; Magnoliopsida; Poales; Poaceae. The record is from RNAcentral.
UCGUAGAGUGGAUUGGCUCCACAAGGCUAGCAAAAGAACAGCCUUGGUUCCCUCUAGGCGUGUCGCGCUGGAUUCAUCGUUGCCGCUGUCAAGGUAGUGGCAAUGCAGGAAUUCCUGGCGUUGCCUUUGGUAGAGGACCUGGAUAUGGCUGCGAUUUGCGCAGCUUCCUUGCGUGUAGGCCCUUCCCAUUGUAGUCGGUAGACCUGAGUGGCCUUGUGAUAUAGUAAAAGCCUGAGGCUUAAAUGCAGCCCGCCAGUAGGCAGUUGCUUGUAGUCUUCAUGUAUUCCG